UGGGGAAUAUUGGACAAUGGGCGCAAGCCUGAUCCAGCCAUGCCGCGUGGGUGAUGAAGGCCUUAGGGUUGUAAAGCCCUUUCGGCGGGGAAGAUAAUGACGGUACCCGCAGAAGAAGCCCCGGCUAACUUCGUGCCAGCAGCCGCGGUAAUACGAAGGGGGCUAGCGUUGCUCGGAAUCACUGGGCGUAAAGCGCACGUAGGCGGAUCUUUAAGUCGGGGGUGAAAUCCCGGGGCUCAACCCCGGAACUGCCUUCGAUACUGAGGAUCUUGAGUUCGGGAGAGGUGAGUGGAACUGCGAGUGUAGAGGUGAAAUUCGUAGAUAUUCGCAAGAACACCAGUGGCGAAGGCGGCUCACUGGCCCGAUACUGACGCUGAGGUGCGAAAGCGUGGGGAGCAAACAG
RNAcentral lists this ribosomal RNA (403 nucleotides) under uncultured bacterium. Its description in RNAcentral is "bacterial SSU rRNA". It matches the Rfam family "Bacterial small subunit ribosomal RNA", at positions 355 to 775 of the family's 1533-position model. The record is from RNAcentral.